AAGUCGUAACAAGGUCUCCGUAGGUGAACCUGCGGAAGGAUCAUUAUCGAGUUUUGACUGGGUUGUAGCUGGCCUUCCGAGGCAUGUGCACGCCCUGCUCAUCCACUCUACACCUGUGCACUUACUGUGGGCUUCAGAUCGUAAAACGGGUCCCUUUACCGGGCUUGCGGAGCGUGUCUGUACCUGCGUUUAUCACAAACUCUAUAAAGUAUCAGAAUGUGUAUUGCGAUGUAACGCAUCUAUAUACAACUUUCAGCAACGGAUCUCUUGGCUCUCGCAUCGAUGAAGAACGCAGCGAAAUGCGAUAAGUAAUGUGAAUUGCAGAAUUCAGUGAAUCAUCGAAUCUUUGAACGCACCUUGCGCUCCUUGGUAUUCCGAGGAGCAUGCCUGUUUGAGUGUCAUGAAAUCUUCAACCUGCAAGCUUUUGUGGUUUGUAGGCUUGGACUUGGAGGCUUGUCGGCCGUUCUCGGUCGGCUCCUCUUAAAUGCAUUAGCUUGGUUCCUUGCGGAUCGGCUCUCAGUGUGAUAAUGUCUACGCUGCGACCGUGAAGCGUUUGGCGAGCUUCUAACCGUCUCAGUUGGAGACAACUUUAUGACCUCUGACCUCAAAUCAGGUAGGACUACCCGCUGAACUUAAGCAUAUCAAUA
RNAcentral lists this ribosomal RNA (647 nucleotides) under Ganoderma multipileum. RNAcentral describes it as "eukaryotic LSU rRNA". The stretch from base 248 to 401 matches the Rfam family "5.8S ribosomal RNA". The record is from RNAcentral. Lineage: Eukaryota; Fungi; Basidiomycota; Agaricomycetes; Polyporales; Polyporaceae.